GACGAACGCUGGCGGCGUGCUUAACACAUGCAAGUUGAACGGAAAGGCCCGGCUUUUGUGGGGUGCUCGAGUGGCGAACGGGUGAGUAACACGUGAGUAACCUGCCCUUGACUUUGGGAUAACUUCAGGAAACUGGGGCUAAUACCGGAUAGGAGCUCCUGCUGCAUGGUGGGGGUUGGAAAGUUUCGGCGGUUGGGGAUGGACUCGCGGCUUAUCAGCUUGUUGGUGGGGUAGUGGCUUACCAAGGCUUUGACGGGUAGCCGGCCUGAGAGGGUGACCGGCCACAUUGGGACUGAGAUACGGCCCAGACUCCUACGGGAGGCAGCAGUGGGGAAUAUUGCACAAUGGGCGGAAGCCUGAUGCAGCAACGCCGCGUGCGGGAUGACGGCCUUCGGGUUGUAAACCGCUUUCGCCUGUGACGAAGCGUGAGUGACGGUAAUGGGUAAAGAAGCACCGGCUAACUACGUG
RNAcentral lists this ribosomal RNA (468 nucleotides) under uncultured bacterium. RNAcentral's name for it is "partial 16S ribosomal RNA". It matches the Rfam family "Bacterial small subunit ribosomal RNA", at positions 28 to 507 of the family's 1533-position model. The record is from RNAcentral.